GACGAACGCUGGCGGCGUGCCUAAUACAUGCAAGUUGAGCGAUGAAGAUUGGUGCUUGCCCCAAUUUGAAGAGCAGCGAACGGGUGAGUAACGCGUGGGGAAUCUGCCUUUGAGCGGGGGACAACAUUUGGAAACGAAUGCUAAUACCGCAUAACAACUUUAAACAUAAGUUUUAAGUUUGAAAGAUGCAAUUGCAUCACUCAAAGAUGAUCCCGCGUUGUAUUAGCUAGUUGGUGAGGUAAAGGCUCACCAAGGCGAUGAUACAUAGCCGACCUGAGAGGGUGAUCGGCCACAUUGGGACUGAGACACGGCCCAAACUCCUACGGGAGGCAGCAGUAGGGAAUCUUCGGCAAUGGACGAAAGGCUGACCGAGCAACGCCGCGUGAGUGAAGAAGGUUUUCGGAUCGUAAAACUCUGUUGGUAGAGAAGAACGUUGGUGAGAGUGGAAAGCUCAUCAAGUGACGGUAACUACCCAGAAAGGGACGGCUAACUACGUG
RNAcentral lists this ribosomal RNA (497 nucleotides) under uncultured bacterium. RNAcentral's name for it is "partial 16S ribosomal RNA". It matches the Rfam family "Bacterial small subunit ribosomal RNA", at positions 28 to 507 of the family's 1533-position model. The record is from RNAcentral.